UACGUAGGGUGCGAGCGUUGUCCGGAAUUAUUGGGCGUAAAGAGCUCGUAGGCGGUGUGUCGCGUCGGCCGUGAAAACCUGCAGCUUAACUGUGGGCUUGCGGUCGAUACGGGCAUCACUGGAGUUCGGCAGGGGAGACUGGAAUUCCUGGUGUAGCGGUGAAAUGCGCAGAUAUCAGGAGGAACACCGGUGGCGAAGGCGGGUUGCUGGGCUGACACUGACGCUGAAGCGCGAAAGCUAGGGGAGCGAACGGG
Molecule: ribosomal RNA, 254 nt
Filed under: uncultured bacterium
Lineage: Bacteria
Description: partial 16S ribosomal RNA
Rfam family: Bacterial small subunit ribosomal RNA
Source: RNAcentral